Hyaena hyaena (striped hyena) is the source of this 342-nucleotide long non-coding RNA. RefSeq lists it as uncharacterized. Lineage: Eukaryota; Metazoa; Chordata; Mammalia; Carnivora; Hyaenidae. The record is from RefSeq and is a predicted model, not a curated record. The transcript has 2 exons.
UGCCUUGUCAUGAUCCUAGAGGGAGAGGUUUUUCCUCUGGCUUUGUGGCUUGGUCUUGCCUGAGGAACAUGGAACUGAGAAUAACAUAUGUGAAUGCAUUUGGACAGAACAAGAUAGCUGGCCACCUUGCCUGACUCUCUUAUGAAACAGGUUCCCUUCUAUUGGUCACAAUCAACAGUAAUCAUGAUCUCCCAUAUUCCUCGGAGCUGCUGAAGUCACUCUGCAAAUCUUGUUGACUAAUUUGGAACCAAAAGAGAAUGCAGUGAUCUACCCAACCUAGAAACCUGUUCUGUAGAUUUCCCUUAAAAACACCAUUGAAAAUGAAAAGAAAGAAAAAAAAAA